RNAcentral lists this long non-coding RNA (3210 nucleotides) under Citrus maxima (pomelo). RNAcentral describes it as "long non-coding RNA (CMAX_LNC004113)". Lineage: Eukaryota; Viridiplantae; Streptophyta; Magnoliopsida; Sapindales; Rutaceae. The record is from RNAcentral.
UAUACUCGUAUGCCAAUUAAAACAUAUUUUACCAUUCAUCAUCUUCUCCAACGCACUUCUAUAGAACAAAAAACCUAACCCAUAUUAUUAGAUUAUUUUUUAUCCUUUUCGAACUAAAAGUAGGAUAUAUAGAAAUUGAAUAAUCAGUGGUUUUGAAGGAGGAUUUCACAGUCACCAAUGUACUAUUGAAGUUUACAAAGUACUUGUCUAGUAAUGCAAGGUAAGAAAAAUUGAACUUUCUCUUUAUUUGCUUUUACUUAUUUGUUUAUUUCAACCAAGUAAAUGAUGAUAUACUAAUUUGCAAGCACAUGGCUUAAGAAUUCGUCCAUGGGUUGCAAGUUUUCAGGGGCUUUGGCAAAUGUUUGUGGGUUUUGUUUUGUGUUUUAUAUUUUUUUAAUGUUCAUGAUAAAUUUUGUCCAGUGCUUCAAUUGAUUUGUGCAUAUAUUGAAAAAUGGGUUAGAGAUUGAUAUUAGGAUUCGGUGGCAGUAGCAGAUCAAAUUAAAGGAAAAUAAUAAGAUUUUGAAGUAGACAAAUUUCACUUUCCUUUAAAAAUUUUUUUAUAUAAAACGAUUUUAAAAAUUAAUGUGCAUAAAGCCAAUCAUUUAUUUUAUUUGCUGGUUGUUAUAAUAUGUAUUGCUUAUUAAUUUUAAAGGAGGUUUGAAUUGUAUAUUGAAUGGGUUAGAAGUAUUGUUUACUUUUGGGUUUAAAAAUGUAUGGAAUUAAUUGAUGUCAUGUUAGUUUUUUUGUGGAUUGUUGCUUAAGAUGAUCAUUUGAUGUGUGUAUGAAAUGUUGAUUUCGGAUGUUUUGUCCUUUUCAUAUACAAUCCACCGAAACUACACAAGAACAGCGCCCACCACUAUUCUAAUGUUUGUAAGCUCACCAACUAACCCAAAAUUUUCAAGCCCACCAACAUACCCAAUUCCACCAAAUGACAUGUCAGCCAACAACAACAACCCUUCGAACACAAUAACCAUGAGCUAAUGCAAAUAGGUGAGCCAGCAUAAAGUCAAAAUGAAAGAUUAGCAGGUCAAACACAAUUAUAUGUUGAAGAAGAUGAUGUUGUUAAAUUUGGAGAAGAAGAAGCAUUUUAGGAAAACGAUGACAAUGAUGAUGAUUUGUUUAUUGAAGAGGAUAGGCAUAAUGUUCAAGAGGAUGGAGAAAAUAUAGAUGAUCGAGGUGAAAAUGAUACUGAGGAUAGUGAGAAUGAUGAGGUUUUGUCCAAUUAUGAGUCUGAUGAUAGAGAUGAAGGAUAUUCAAUUGAAUCGGAUGAAGAUAUACCAAUUUGUUUGGUUAAAAAAUUUGUAGAAACACGGAAAAGCAAGGUUGGUCCAGAUGGUAAGCUGAUAUAGUGAUAUUUUCAAUUGGAGAUGAGUUUGACACUGUGAUUGAGUUUAGAGGAGUGUUAAAAAAUUAUCUAAUUGAGUAAGGAUUUGAUAUUGUUAAACUUAAGAAUGAAAAGAGGAGAUUCAAGGCUAGAUGUAUAGGUGAGACUGAAGAAAGAGUUCCAUGUACAUGGUACAUUUAUGCAGCUAGGGUAAAGUUUGGAACUAUUUUUAGAAUUCAACAACUCAAUAAGAAUCACACAUGUGACAGAAACUCUAAGACAAAAAAGGCUUCUAUGUACUAGAUUGUCAAUUAUUUUUAGACCUCAUUGAAGAAUAAUACUACAAUGCCCCUAAAACCAAUGCAUAAAGAGAUGACACAUAAAUAAGGAUUACAUUGUAGUAUUAAGAAGAUUAACAACUAAAAAGAAUACCAAGAUUAGAAAUAGUGGAAGUCAUUCAGAGUCUUAUCAGUUGCUAAAGAACUAUGAAGCAAUCUUGAAACAAACAAACCCAGGAGUACUUGUCUGGCUACAAUGAAUGGAUGAGGGUAAACCUAACAAAGUUAAGUUCCAAAGGUUUAUGCUUAGUUUUCUAGCUUUGAAGAAUGGGUUUAUUAAGGGUUGCAAGUGGUUUUGUUGGUAUUGAUGGGUGUCAUUUGAAGGAGCCUUAUGGUGGAAUUAUGUUGUCAGUGGUUUCCUUAUAUGCAAAUAGUGACGUUUUCCCUAUUGUUGUGUGCAUUUGUGAGAUGAAGAGUUCAAAGACUUGGAAGUGGUUCCUUAGCAUUUUGAGGGAGUGGCUUGAAAUUGAAGAUGAUAUUCUUGUUACCUUUAUGACAAAUAGGCAAAAGAGCUUAUUGGCUAGUUUGGCAGAGUUCUGGCCUAGAUCUACUGUUAGAUAUUGUGCUAGGCAUUUAUUUGCAAAUGUGAGGAGUAAAUGGCCUGAACAAGUGUUUAGAACUCUGUUUUGGUCAGACAUGCUUUGAAUCAUCUUGCAAAGUCUGAUCAUGUGACUAAUAAUAUGACAGAGUCAUGGAAUGGUUAGUUAAAAGAGCAUAGGGGUAGUCAAGUGCUGACUCUCAUGGAUUAUAUUAGAAGGAAAGUAAUGAGGAGAUUGCAUAAGAGAAUGAAAGAGGUUAUGACAUGGAAGGGUAGACUACCCCCUAAUGUCCAGAAGAAACUAGAUUUGAAUAGGGAAGAAGGAAGGACAUGCAAGGUUUUAGAGGCAGAUGAUUAUGAUUUGGAAAUAAUUGAUGAUACCACUCAUGAAUCUUUUGUAGUUGAUCUAGAUAAAAGAAUAUGUGGUUGUGGGGCAUAUCAAAUUAGUGGCAUCCCCACCAGAAAUAUUAGUGCAAGUUGGCAGGGCGAAAAAACAUGCAAGAAAAAAGGAACUGAAUGAACUGCUUAGGAAAAGGAAGAAUAAGCAAACUGUCAAGUGCACUAACUGCAGUGGUAUAGGGCACAACAAAAGGUCUUGUAAAAAUCCUGUAGAAAGUUCAUUUCAGGUACAUUCUUUAUUUUGAAUUAUGUUAACGUAAAAUUUGAAAUUAUCUAUUGUAUUAACUGCAAUAAGUUACUUUAUUGUCUUCCUGUCAUAUGGUAAUGUGCAGGUAGCAAAGUAACUAAAUGCCACUCAAUCUGAAAGACAAUCACAGUUACAGCCACAAAGAGUAGGAAAUCAUAUUAAUUUGAUAAUGGAUAUGGAUAUGAUGCAUUUGGAUCGUAGACAUUUUUUAAUCAGACUUUGUGGUGCAUUUGAAUUGAGCUGAUAUAUCCAGGUCAUUUCGUUUGUAACAACUCAACUAUUGCAACAGCAUGUAACAGCUCAACUAUUGCAACAACAUGACUUGUUCUUGAAUAUCAUGUCUCCAUUCACUUUUUCAUGAGUA